RNAcentral lists this ribosomal RNA (433 nucleotides) under uncultured bacterium. RNAcentral describes it as "partial 16S ribosomal RNA". It matches the Rfam family "Bacterial small subunit ribosomal RNA", at positions 29 to 507 of the family's 1533-position model. The record is from RNAcentral.
AACGAACGCUGGCGGCAUGCCUAACACAUGCAAGUCGAACGAGACCUUCGGGUCGAUUGGCGCACGGGUGCGUAACGCGUGGGAACCUGCCCUUAGGUUCGGAAUAACUCCCCGAAAGGGGUGCUAAUACCGGAUAAUGUCUUCGGACCAAAGAUUUAUCGCCUUUGGAUGGGCCCGCGUUGGAUUAGCUAGUUGGUAGGGUAAAAGCCUACCAAGGCGACGAUCCAUAGCUGGUCUGAGAGGAUGAUCAGCCACACUGGGACUGAGACACGGCCCAGACUCCUACGGGAGGCAGCAGUGGGGAAUAGUGGACAAUGGGCGAAAGCCUGAUGCAGCAAUGCCGCGUGAGUGAUGAAAGCCUUAGGGUUGUAAAGCUCUUUUACCCGGGAUGAUAAUGACAGUACCGGGAGAAUAAGCUCCGGCUAACUCCGUG